UACAGAGGUGGCGACCGUUGUUCGGAAUCACUGGGCAUAAAGCGCGUGUAGGCGGCAUCGUAAGUCGGGUGUGAAAUCCCUCGGCCCAACCGAGGAAUUGCGCCCGAAACUACCUUGCUUGAGGACCAGAGGGGAGCCUGGAAUUCCUGGUGGAGCGGUGAAAUGCGUUGAUAUCAGGAGGAACACCGGCGGCGAAGGCGAGGCUCUGGCUGGUUACUGACGCUGAGACGCGAAAGCUAGGGGAGCAAACGGG
This 253-nucleotide ribosomal RNA is filed under the name uncultured bacterium. Its description in RNAcentral is "partial 16S ribosomal RNA". It matches the Rfam family "Bacterial small subunit ribosomal RNA", at positions 524 to 776 of the family's 1533-position model. The record is from RNAcentral.